AGUUUGAUCCUGGCUCAGGACGAACGCUGGCGGCGUGCCUAAUACAUGCAAGUCGAACGCUUCUUUUCCCACCGGAGCUUGCUCCACCGGGAAAAGAGGAGUGGCGAACGGGUGAGUAACACGUGGGUAACCUGCCCAUCAGAAGGGGAUAACACUUGGAAACAGGUGCUAAUACCGUAUAACAAUCGAAACCGCAUGGUUUCGUUUUGAAAGGCGCUUUACGGUGCCGCUGAUGGAUGGACCCGCGGUGCAUUAGCUAGUUGGUGAGGUAACGGCUCACCAAGGCCACGAUGCAUAGCCGACCUGAGAGGGUGAUCGGCCACAUUGGGACUGAGACACGGCCCAAACUCCUACGGGAGGCAGCAGUAGGGAAUCUUCGGCAAUGGACGAAAGUCUGACCGAGCAACGCCGCGUGAGUGAAGAAGGUUUUCGGAUCGUAAAACUCUGUUGUUAGAGAAGAACAAGGGUGAGAGUAACUGUUCACCCCUUGACGGUAUCUAACCAGAAAGCCACGGCUAACUACGUGCCAGCAGCCGCGGUAAUACGUAGGUGGCAAGCGUUGUCCGGAUUUAUUGGGCGUAAAGCGAGCGCAGGCGGUUUCUUAAGUCUGAUGUGAAAGCCCCCGGCUCAACCGGGGAGGGUCAUUGGAAACUGGGAGACUUGAGUGCAGAAGAGGAGAGUGGAAUUCCAUGUGUAGCGGUGAAAUGCGUAGAUAUAUGGAGGAACACCAGUGGCGAAGGCGGCUCUCUGGUCUGUAACUGACGCUGACGCUCGAAAGCGUGGGGAGCAAACAGGAUUAGAUACCCUGGUAGUCC
This 815-nucleotide ribosomal RNA is filed under the name Enterococcus pseudoavium. RNAcentral's name for it is "bacterial SSU rRNA". It matches the Rfam family "Bacterial small subunit ribosomal RNA", at positions 10 to 796 of the family's 1533-position model. Lineage: Bacteria; Bacillati; Bacillota; Bacilli; Lactobacillales; Enterococcaceae. The record is from RNAcentral.